Molecule: transfer RNA, 68 nt
Filed under: Ovis aries (sheep)
Lineage: Eukaryota; Metazoa; Chordata; Mammalia; Artiodactyla; Bovidae
Rfam family: tRNA
About the family: Transfer RNA (tRNA) molecules are approximately 80 nucleotides in length.
Source: Rfam by way of RNAcentral
CCUGGCGGCUCAGCAGUAGAGAAUCUGCCUGCAGUGCAGGAGACCCAGGUUUGAUCCCUGGGUCAGGA